Molecule: transfer RNA, 73 nt
Filed under: Stegodyphus mimosarum
Lineage: Eukaryota; Metazoa; Arthropoda; Arachnida; Araneae; Eresidae
Rfam family: tRNA
About the family: Transfer RNA (tRNA) molecules are approximately 80 nucleotides in length. Their secondary structure includes four short double-helical elements and three loops (D, anti-codon, and T loops).
Source: Rfam by way of RNAcentral
GCCUUCGUGGUAUAUUGGUCAACACGUUCGACGAGUAACCGAGAGGUCCGUGGUUCGAUUCCCGGUGAAGGCG